This 492-nucleotide ribosomal RNA is filed under the name uncultured bacterium. RNAcentral's name for it is "partial 16S ribosomal RNA". It matches the Rfam family "Bacterial small subunit ribosomal RNA", at positions 29 to 507 of the family's 1533-position model. The record is from RNAcentral.
AGUGAACGCUGGCGGUAGGCCUAACACAUGCAAGUCGAACGGCAGCACAGUAAGAGCUUGCUCUUACGGGUGGCGAGUGGCGGACGGGUGAGGAAUACAUCGGAAUCUACUUUUUCGUGGGGGAUAACGUAGGGAAACUUACGCUAAUACCGCAUACGACCUACGGGUGAAAGCAGGGGAUCUUCGGACCUUGCGCGAUUGAAUGAGCCGAUGUCGGAUUAGCUAGUUGGCGGGGUAAAGGCCCACCAAGGCGACGAUCCGUAGCUGGUCUGAGAGGAUGAUCAGCCACACUGGAACUGAGACACGGUCCAGACCCCUACGGGAGGCAGCAGUGGGGAAUAUUGGACAAUGGGCGCAAGCCUGAUCCAGCCAUACCGCGUGGGUGAAGAAGGCCUUCGGGCUGUAAAGCCCUUUUGUUGGGAAAGAAAAGCAGCAGGUUAAUACCCCGCUGUUCUGACGGUACCCAAAGAAUAAGCACCGGCUAACUUCGUG